UGGGGAAUAUUGGACAAUGGGCGCAAGCCUGAUCCAGCCAUGCCGCGCGAGUGACGAAGGCCUUAGGGUUGUAAAGCUCUUUUGGCGGGGAAGAUAAUGACGGUACCCGCAGAAUAAGCUCCGGCUAACUUCGUGCCAGCAGCCGCGGUAAUACGAAGGGAGCUAGCGUUGUUCGGAAUCACUGGGCGUAAAGCGCACGUAGGUGGGCAGUUAAGUCAGGGGUGAAAGCCCGAGGCUCAACCUCGGAAUUGCCUCUGAUACUGGCUGUCUAGAGUCCGAGAGAGGAGGGUGGAAUUCCUAGUGUAGAGGUGAAAUUCGUAGAUAUUAGGAAGAACACCGGUGGCGAAGGCGGCCCACUGGCUCGGUACUGACACUGAGGUGCGAAAGCGUGGGGAGCAAACAGGAUUAGAUACCCUUGUAGUCCCUGAGCGGGCUGGCAAGGCGCAU
This 447-nucleotide ribosomal RNA is filed under the name uncultured bacterium. RNAcentral's name for it is "bacterial SSU rRNA". It matches the Rfam family "Bacterial small subunit ribosomal RNA", at positions 355 to 825 of the family's 1533-position model. The record is from RNAcentral.